RNAcentral lists this unclassified non-coding RNA (4321 nucleotides) under Homo sapiens (human). RNAcentral's name for it is "XK related 6 (ENSG00000284927.2)". The record is from RNAcentral. Lineage: Eukaryota; Metazoa; Chordata; Mammalia; Primates; Hominidae.
GUUAGGGGGCGUUUCUCCAGGAGGAAAGCUGUGAGCUGCGACGCUGAGGAAGGGGACCCCAAAACGUCUGGCACUGCCCCCUCCAGGGAUCACUUUGGACCGCCUCACUCGGGCCAGCCGGAUUCUGAAACGCCGAGGGGUCAACCUGAUGGGUUUCGGGGUCAACGGAAGAGGGGAAGGGGAGCCCUGGCGGGGAGAACCCCCCGGUCCCCCGCCCAGCAGCUGAGGCACAGGAGGGCGGCCAUCUUGGCCGGGAGGGUAGGGCUGGGGAGCUGCGGGCGCCGUGCGAUUGGGGGGCUCGCCCGGAAGUGACGCCAACUACCCGGAAGCGGAGGGGGUUCCCUGGCCCACUCCCCCCUCGUUCGUUUGCUCCCCGCUUCCUCCCCGCCCCCUUCCUCUCCAUUCGUUUCCCCCCUCCCCGUUCCCUGCCUUCUUCCCCCCCCCCGCCGUCCCUCCCCCCCAACCUCCGGAGCUGGGAAGAGAGUCAAGAUGGCGGCGAAAUCCGAUGGCGGUGGCGUGGGGGUGGGCUUCGCUCAGCUGCACAACCUGGACGAGGCGGUGGGCAGCGGCGGCGAGGAGGACGGGGAGCCCGGGGAGGCGGCUGCGGCGGCGGCGGCGACGGCAGCGAGCCCGGCGAGAGCAGCUCGAUGCACAUCUGCCACUGCUGCAACACCUCCUCGUGCUACUGGGGCUGCCGCUCCGCCUGCCUGCGCUCCCUCCUGGGCAGGAAGCCGCGCCGCAGCGCCGCCGCCGACGGGGGGGACCAGCCGCUGCAGCCUCCCGCGGCCCCGGCGCCGGCCGCCAACCCCCGACGCCCUCGGCCGCGCGGCCGGAGCCGCCGCCGCCGCAGGUGGAGCGGCCGUGGCUCGACUGCCUGUGGAUCGUGCUGGCGCUGCUGGUGUUCUUCGGGGACGUGGGCACCGACCUGUGGCUGGCCCUCGACUACUACCGCAAGGGGGACUACGUCUACUUCGGGCUGACCCUCUUCUUCGUGCUGGUGCCGUCGCUGCUGGUGCAGAGCCUGAGCUUCCGCUGGUUCGUGCAGGACUACACGGGCGGCGGGCUGGGCGCCGUGGAGGGGCUCACCAGCCGGGGCCCCCCCAUGAUGGGGGCCGGCUACGUCCACGGCGCGGCCCGCGGUGGCCCAGGCGUGAGGGUCUCCCCCACGCCGGGGGCGCAGCGCCUGUGUCGCCUCUCCGUGUGGAUCUGGCAGUCGGUCAUCCACCUGCUGCAGAUGGGGCAGGUGUGGAGGUAUAUCCGCACCAUGUACCUGGGGAUUCAGAGCCAGCGGCGGAAGGAACACCAGCGACGCUUCUACUGGGCUAUGAUGUAUGAAUAUGCAGACGUCAACAUGCUGCGCCUCCUGGAGACCUUCCUGGAGAGCGCGCCCCAACUGGUGCUACAGCUCUACAUCAUGCUCCAGAAGAACAGCGCCGAGACCCUGCCCUGUGUCUCCUCUGUGACUUCCCUGAUGUCCCUGGCUUGGGUGCUAGCCUCCUAUCACAAGCUGCUGCGGGACUCCAGGGACGACAAGAAGAGCAUGAGCUACAGAGGGGCCAUCAUCCAGGUCUUCUGGCGCCUCUUCACCAUCUCAUCCCGAGUGAUCUCUUUUGCCCUCUUUGCUUCCAUCUUCCAGCUCUAUUUUGGGAUCUUCGUGGUGGUUCACUGGUGCGCCAUGGCCUUCUGGAUCAUCCAUGGCGGAACAGACUUCUGCAUGUCCAAGUGGGAGGAGAUCCUCUUCAACAUGGUGGUAGGGAUCGUGUACAUUUUCUGCUGGUUUAACGUCAAGGAAGGGCGGACUCGAUAUCGAAUGUUUGCAUAUUAUACGAUAGUCUUGACCGAGAAUGCUGCCUUGACGUUCCUUUGGUAUUUUUACAGAGACCCGGAGACCACUGACUCCUAUGCGGUGCCAGCACUGUGUUGUGUCUUUAUUAGCUUUGUGGCUGGGAUCGCAAUGAUGCUCUUAUACUAUGGCGUGCUGCAUCCCACAGGACCACGAGCUAAGAUCCUUGCCAGCUCCUGUUGUGCCGAGCUGCUCUGGGGCAUCCCUUUGCCCCCCGAUGUUGAGCCCAUGGCGCCUGAGAUCCCUGGGUACCGGGGGACCCAGGUUACGCCCACCAGAGCCGUAACGGAACAACAGGAGGAUCUCACGGCUGACACUUGCUUGCCUGUUUUCCAAGUGAGACCCAUGGGGCCCCCUACCCCGUUGGGGCGUCCUUACCUCCCAGAAGGGCCCCUCAUUAAGAUUGACAUGCCAAGAAAGCGAUACCCAGCUUGGGAUGCUCAUUUUGUAGACAGGAGGCUGAGAAGGACUAUUAACAUUCUACAAUAUGUCACCCCCACCGCAGUAGGCAUUCGAUAUCGAGACGGACCACUCCUCUAUGAGUUGCUACAGUAUGAGUCUUCACUCUAAGAGCAUCUUGACCAAGUUGAGAAGGGGACCUUAAGUUUGGUUUGCGGCAAACAGCACUUGCAAGAAAUAUAACCCUCCCUUCCCCCAAUACACAGAACCACCGCCACCACCACCAACACCGCCACACCAACACCACCACUACAAAAAAAAAAGAAUUAAUAAGUCACAACCCCUUCAAAUAAGCUUUCUUUCCAGUCGCUGUAUGUAUACAAAGAUAUUCUCUAUGUUUUGUAAGUAAAAACAAAAAGAAAACCUUUCUUUUGUUUUUUACACAUAAGAAACAGUAUUGAAAAAUCCCACGCUAUGGUUCAUAGGGUGGAGAAGGAGGAGUUAUCUCCACUCCAAAAGAAAAAAAAAAAGUUUUUUACCUUACACCAAGUGUAGAUCAUUUAUGGGAUUGGUGCUGAUUGAAAGAACAAAACAAAACAAAACAAACACAAACAAACAAAAAACCUUCAACUGCCUUAUGCCCUUAGGUGCUGAGUUUCAUUAAGUACUGUCACGUUUUCUCAUGCAAAACUCUCUGGUGAUUUUUGCACCAGAAGAGGGAAAAUUAAACAAUUAAAUGAAACAAAUCUAAAAGUGAAACAAAAACCAACCAACAAAUACAACACAAAGCAAUUAUUCUUCCUAUCUGAUUAUUUGUAUUGAAGAAAACAAAUUUACCAAAAGCAAAAGCAUAAACCCCUCCCUCUUUUCAGUUUCUCCCCCUCCUCUCCUGACCUUCUCCCCACUUUGCAGAGCCUUCUAGGAGCUCAAGGGCUGUUUGAAACUCAAAUGGCUGGAGAAGCUACUUGAAGGCUGAUUAUGUGCCAUUUUAGCAUUUGCCUAGCAAGAAUCACAUUCGUUUCCCAGUGAAAAGCAAACCAGAACAAAACAAAAAGCCACCGCAAUAAUUCGGUAAGGACAGGAUAUUCUAAAGCAAAUUAAAGGAGAUUUCUGUACACAUAAUCAGUAAUAAUAAAACUCAGCAUAGUAGCAAAAAGAACGACAUCAGUUUAAAGGCACAAUACUUAAUCAGUGACUGGCAACAACGAUUAGUUCCAUCAUUUUAAGGCUGUGAAUGGUAGACAUUUAUCACAUGUGAUAUUGUGUAAAGCCUCUUCUGUUUCCAUUUGGUGGGAAGCCUUAAAUUGAUCUGGAAAGAAUUCUUCAUUUUUCAUUUGUGCUUUUUUAAAAAAAAAAUAACACAAAGAGGAAAACUAGAAUAUAUAUAUAUAUAUACAUAUAUAUAAAAAGUCAAAAUUGUAAUAACUGACCCAUUUCAAAGACUGUUUGGUGCUUCUGUCUUUCACCAUUGUGGUUGGCUGAAAAUCAUUCAGCUCACCUGGUGCAUCUGGGUUGAAUGGGAAAUUUUGUGUGUGUAGUAUGUGUGUGUUUGUGUGUGUAUGUGUGUGUGUGCCCAUAGCACACGUAUAUAUGUGUGUGUCCCUGCUGCAAAGUCUUGCCAGAGAUAUACAAAACUGAUGUAAGACGAACUUGGAUCACGGCUUGGUUCAGCAGAGCAUGGGGGCGGGGGCUCUGGAGUGGUGGGGAAGUGAUGCUGCCUGCCCACGAGCCCUGGUUUGGGUGGCAAGACUCACACCAGCAGCGGACUGCAGGCCUUAGAGGCCAUGCCAUUUGGGUGAGGAUUUGAUUCCACUGUUUAUUUUCUCAUUGUAUCAAGUUGAAUUUCUGCAGGUGUUGCAAGUAUGUUCAACGAUUUAAAUUUUUUUUUAUUUUUCAAAGUAUUGUUCCUUUAAAGAAUAUUUCUGUUCUAGGGCAUCGUUUCAAUCGCAUCGUAUCUCUACUUGGGCACAAAAAAAAAGGAAAAGAAAAAAAAUCACAAAAAAGAUAUAUAAUAAGUAUAUAUAUAUAUAUAUAUAUAUAAACACACACAAUAUUUUUAAGUAAAUACUGUUAGUCUUU